Molecule: unclassified non-coding RNA, 796 nt
Filed under: Hevea brasiliensis (rubber tree)
Lineage: Eukaryota; Viridiplantae; Streptophyta; Magnoliopsida; Malpighiales; Euphorbiaceae
Source: RNAcentral
GGCCAAUUGUAAGAGCUCUUUUGCAAAACAAUGCAAUGAAAAUCUACAUAUAAAAUAUGCCACACUAAAUGUUCAACACAACUAAACAAGUAAACUUCAAGGACUGAAACAAAAGCAGCUAAUAAGAUGACAAGUAAACUUCCACAACACGCACUUCUCUACAUUAACAUCAUCCAAAAAAUCUAUUCUGUGCUAUGGAUUCCAUUAUGUUGUUUGAUUCAAAUGCAAGUGAUUGUAUAAUAAUGUGGUUAAAGUUGAUGCAAGUUCAUAAACAUAACCUGUCCAGUCUAUCUGUUCCUACUAAAAGCAAGAGUUUCGGAACAGGACGUGAGAGAAAUUUUUCUGGAAGACCUUCAUACCUGCAAGAUAGACAAAGUAGCUAAUCCAUAAACAUACAUGAAUUGUAAAUUCCUAUUUUUAAAAAUCAAUAACUGAUAAACAAUAGCAGAAUCAAUAAUAUAUACAAAAGAAAUGGUAUGUGUUAGGAAGGAGUUUCCAAACAACUCGGUGAUAAAAUUGCAUCCAAGAAUGUACAAUUGACAUUCAAAUAAUGAUCAAUUCACAAAAUGGUUUUAAUAACUGCCAUGAAAUAAAUCCUCAUCGCAAUGCCAUUUUAUAGCAGUAAAUGUUAAUUGCCCAUUAAGUUAUAGCAUCCUCUCCAAUAACUGUCAUGAAAUCAAACUGUCUUGGUCUAAAUUUGUUUAACAUAAAAGCAAAUCCUAUAUACAGUAACUUUUAAAAAAAUAUAGACAUUCCGAUUACUUGAACAUACUGUGGCAGGAGAACUUACCAUUUC